AACGGUCCAAAAUUUACAUCUUUGUCUGAGGGGGAGAAAGGGUUGAUGAAUGACGCCAGAAGUCCAAAGGAAAUGCACAAUUCUAUUCAAUUAGAUAGGCGCGCAGAGCAGGCAUGAAGAACCCUAAUUCAAGUGAAUAGCAAAAGCAACACCCCAAAAACCCAUUUGAACUGAAACCCCAAGAAAAGAAUGCAAUUUUUAUCAGCAAGAACCCAAAUUUAAUCGAGAGAAACGAGCAAAAUCAAGAGCAAGGAAAAAUUCCGGAGGUGGGGGGGAUGGGGGAAGAAUAAGAGAGGGGAGGAAACCUUAAGGAGCUUGAUGAGGGAGUCUUUAGUAGAGGGAGGAUUGUCGAGCUUGGAUCCAAGCUCUUUGAGCUGCAGCAGAAGUUUUUGAUUAGCCAUUUCCGUAAUUUUCACAACUGCUUCACCAGCUGCAUAACCACUGCUACUUGAGCACCACACCUCACUGCUGCUCUUACUGACAGUCAGUAAGAAGAAGAAAACAAAAUAAAACGUUUCCCAGGGCUUUGUGUUGGUGAGAGAAGCUCUUCCCAGAGACAGAAGAGAAAAUGGGGUGGGGGGGGGUUCGAAGUUUAUUGGUAUUUCGCUUCUGCGUUUGUGGGUUCGAACAAAGAAGCGAAACAAAUGGGGUUGGCCACUCUCUCUAUCCCCAUUUAUAUUUUUUA
This 685-nucleotide long non-coding RNA is filed under the name Coffea arabica (coffee). RNAcentral describes it as "long non-coding RNA (CARA_LNC006151)". Lineage: Eukaryota; Viridiplantae; Streptophyta; Magnoliopsida; Gentianales; Rubiaceae. The record is from RNAcentral.